UGAAUAUCAAUGGGCGUAUCAAAUUCGUCAUAGCUACAAGUGCCUUAUCUAUGGGAUUUGAUGCAGCAGGGAUCCAAUACGUCAUCCAUUCGAAAAUGGCUCGUACGGCAGAGGAUUUCAUCCAGAUGAUUGGUCGGGCUGGGAGAAGUGCAAAUCUAAAGGCGAUAUGUAUUGUAUUUACGCACAACAAGACCAGGGAUAUGGACGGAGAGUGUCUUAUGUACCGCGAC
This is a long non-coding RNA of Bolinopsis microptera, 230 nucleotides long. RefSeq lists it as uncharacterized. The record is from RefSeq and is a predicted model, not a curated record. The transcript has 3 exons. Lineage: Eukaryota; Metazoa; Ctenophora; Tentaculata; Lobata; Bolinopsidae.